GACGAACGCUGGCGGCGUGCCUAAUACAUGCAAGUUGAGCGCUGAAGGCUGGUACUUGUACCAACUGGAUGAGCAGCGAACGGGUGAGUAACGCGUGGGGAAUCUGCCUUUGAGCGGGGGACAACAUUUGGAAACGAAUGCUAAUACCGCAUAAAAACUUUAAACACAAGUUUUAAGUUUGAAAGAUGCAAUUGCAUCACUCAAAGAUGAUCCCGCGUUGUAUUAGCUAGUUGGUGAGGUAAAGGCUCACCAAGGCGAUGAUACAUAGCCGACCUGAGAGGGUGGUCGGCCACAUUGGGACUGAGACACGGCCCAAACUCCCACGGGAGGCAGCAGUAGGGAAUCUUCGGCAAUGGACGAAAGUCUGACCGAGCAACGCCGCGUGAGGAAAGAAGGUUUUCGGAUCGUAAAACUCUGUUGGUAGAGAAGAACGUUGGUGAGAGUGGAAAGCUCAUCAAGUGACGGUAACUACCCAGAAAGGGACGGCUAACUACGUG
RNAcentral lists this ribosomal RNA (497 nucleotides) under uncultured bacterium. RNAcentral describes it as "partial 16S ribosomal RNA". It matches the Rfam family "Bacterial small subunit ribosomal RNA", at positions 28 to 507 of the family's 1533-position model. The record is from RNAcentral.